UGCACUUGUGAUACUCCUAAAGUGCAUGUUCAUUUUCUUCCCAGUCAUCUUUCACAGUAUAAAUCUGUACAGUCUUUGAGUCAGGAGCUGGGAAUCCUUGAUUGUCCUCUGGAAUGAUCCCUAUCUUUCUGAUGUCUAACCAGUGAGUUAGGCUGCGUUUGGGCUGAGGUGUAGGUGGGUGCUGCGGCACUCAGAAAGAUCCUGAUCCCUCAGUUCCCCUGCAGCGCGCAGUGGAGGGAGUGCCAGGGUACCCAAAUACUGGUGGGAGUGUGAAAACCUACAUGCCAGUUGGGUAGACAUGCCUUCUUUUUCUUUCUUUUUCUUUUUCUUUUUCUUUUUCUUUUUCUUUUUCUUUUUCUUUUUCUUUUUCUUUUUCUUUUUCUUUUUCUUUUUUUUCUUUUUCUUCUUUCUCUUUCUUUCUCUUUCUUUUCUCCUUUCUCCUUUCUCCUUUCUCCUUUCUCCUUUCUCCUUUCUCCUUUCUCCCUUUCAUUUUCCUUCUUCUCUUCCUCUUCUCCCUCCCUCCCUCCCUCCCUCUCUCCCUCCCUCCCUCCCUCCCUCACUCCCUCACUCCCUUCCUUCCUUCCUUCCUUCCUUCCUUCCUUCCUUCCUUCCUUCCUUCCUUCCUUCCUUCCUUCCUUCCUUCCUCUGUAACUUAAUUAUUCCACCCUAGAUAUCCUAAGAUCCUGAAAUCAAUUUAAGACUCUGCUUUAGCCAGCAACAUACUAUAUGAACUCUCUGUAAUACUCUACAUGAUAUUCAGUAGCAGUAGUGAGAACUCUAGUAGAAACUUAGUAGCUGCAACUUACAGACUUACUGUAGUCUUCGAUACCUUUAAUUUAUUCUGUAAACUCUUAGGAUCAGGCCUAUAUCUCACCAUUUAUCGAUACAAGAUUUAACAUAAUCUCAAAUGAGCUGUGUAGAGACAGCUGUGAUGCAAAUACUUUUCAAAAUAAAUAUUUUAUUAUUGUAAAUGUAAAUUUAUUAUUAUUAUUAUUAUUAUUAUUAUUAUUAUUAUUAUUAUUAUUAUUAUUGAGGUUAUUUUUUUCUUAAUCCUUUUUCUUUUUUCUCUGCUAAAAAGACAUGUACCACAAAGGUAGGGUAUACACAUUUCCACAGUAGGGGGAAAUAAGGAGGAAAAAGUCUUUUAAUAAAAAUGUAAUCUUACUGAAAUGUAGCCAGUUACAUUCAAGGCACAUACCAGUCUCAGAAUAUUGUUUUUCAAAAGUUUUAUGAAGUGCAAUUCCUUUAUUGUAUGCCAUUCUCUUGGUCCAUGCCAAGUAGUUAACAAAUGUCAGUCAUGAUUCCAGCAAAACCACCAUGAUGGCAAGACCUGCUUAGAUUCUUACAGUGAUUUACUAGCAAAAACCACUAAUGCAAUUACUAGCUUAACUUUCUAGAAUUUUUAGUCUGAUUAGUCAUCUCUCUGAUACCAUUUAUGACUCUAUAUUACUAUUUCACUUAAGAAUUGAUGCCAUGCAUUCUGUUUACGUAUCAAAUUGGUUUGAAUUUAAUCUUGUGAGUCCUGUCCAGAUCGUUUCUGUAUCUAACUCAACUGGUUUUGCUGCUUCAGAAAAAGCAUGCCCAGAGAACUGCUCUUGGCCUUUUAUUAGGUGCUAUUUAUAGUGCCUUUUGGUGAUAAGGACCACUGGAUAAUGGAUAACUUUUAAUUUCUAUGCUGAUUAUGGACACUUUUAUCUAAUUUAAAAAGUUUUAAAAGGCUUUUUUAACUGGCCAUACAUCCUGUCACUAAAGUCUAUCAUCACUGAACUGACUUAAAUUUCCUAUGACAAAAUGCGCACAAAUUCCUGUAUGUAUGGCUUUAAAUAUUGAGAAAUACCAUUGAAGUACUGCUAACAUUUGCUGCAAAAAUACAACUACCUAUACUUUAGAUAAUAAGUGCUCUGUCUCUUCUGAACUCCUAUUUCUGUAUGAAAACUGUAUAUGUUGUUUAAACUGCGGAAUAGCUUUAAUUUUUAUGUAUGCUUGUUAGGACGCUGUGCUUAAUGCUGAAGACUUCAUAUAGUUCUCAGCUUGAGUUAAAUAUAUCCUUUUAUUUUUCAAGUCCUGGCCAUUAUUUCAUGUUAUAUUAGUAAUAUAAAAAUUAUCUAUGGAUUGCUGAGAAAAAGGGAAGAAAAUGUGCAUGUUUACAUUUUCACACAUGUAAUACUUGCCACACAGCUUUUGAUAAUAAUCCCUUGGAUUGGCUGGAGGCCAGUUUAUUUCUUAACCUAUCACAGAACAGCUGGAGGCCAUGUGUAACUGCAGACUUGCCAAAUCCAACAUUUUUGGCUCAUGGGCAUUUGGAUUAGAGAGACUGUGGCAAUCCAAGUCUACUUCAUAGAGAAGCAUAAUUUAGGCAUGGUUCCUGUAAUCCUGUCAAUGACAGUCUGCAUUAUCACAGGCUGAAGGUUACACUUCUCACUGAUCUGGAGAAAAUCUUGAUUAAACGUAUUAUCUUAAAGAUUAACUUAGCUUGAUAGAAUUUUCCCAGAUCUCUAGCUCUGAUUCAGAGGAUGAGAGAGAAAAAAAAAAAAGAAGAAAAGGCUUUUAAAGAGAUUAAAAAGUUAAAUUAAAGGAUGAGCAUAUUGUGUUCUGGAAAAAGACAGAUUUUCAUUUUUGGAUCUAUGACGGAGCAAAGAUUUUGCUGAUGCUAAACUGAAAACUAAUGGGCCGCAAACUGGAUGUUCUCAUACCUGGUGACUCAGAAGCAGAGCAGGACAUGAUUCUUCUUUCAAAAGAUGCAUGUUUUUAAUGAGUUUGAAUGUCUUUGUACAGGCAGUAAAAGAUGAAGUAAUGCCUUUCUCCUCUUAACGUCUGCUGUGUGGGGUCUAUUCCAUGCAAGCUUUCAGAAUGUGACCUUUUAAAGUGUAUGCAAUGGUUCAGCAUGUAGUAGAAAAAGUAAUUUUUUUAAUAAUUUUUGAAAGGCAUUGCUUUGGGAGUUCAGAUUCUUGGCAAACUUCAGUGUGUAGAUACCAGUGUUAUAGACACUUCAGAAAGAAUAAUAAUUCAUCUAGAUUACAGGAUGUUCACCCAAGGGGCUGAGUGUUAUUGCCAAACUCUAAAGAGAGAACAGGGUUGUACAGAUUCCCCAUGCAGCUUGUGUUUAGUUUUAUGGAAGACAUUGUUUUAAUUUUUCUAAUGAUCCCCAAUAUAGAAAUUACAUUCUAAUCAGCGCAGGAGUCCAAUAAAUUUUUUGCUCAUGCCAGCAAAAGGAUCUUCUAAAUAUGAAAUAGUUUUACUCAGUAAAUAUCGACUGGAGCUUGAUUAGAACAUUGUGUUGAAAGGCGUAUCCUAAAUUUUACUACAAAUUUUUACUACUGAUAACUUCUGAGAAACAGGCAGUAAUGCCAACAAUGUUUCUUUGCUUGAAGAUAAUCUUCUCAUCUAAACUUCUGUUUUUACCUGUGCUCUUCCUCAGAGUUAUGCAGUUGGCUCCCUGGAUAGUAUUCACAGGCCUGCACCAGAUGCCCAGGCUCCUAAUUUUUCUGUGAUGCGGGCUAAAGUUCAUCUAAAUGCAGGAGCAUUUGUAGUUUUGGAGCACUCUCCAGGGCCCACCUAGCCACAGUUGCAAGGUUGGCAAGACCCCUUCAGCUCCAGGGGGUCCAGCAUCUUCUAGAGCCCAGGUAAGUUAUUCAGAGUGACCAGAGCUUGUUUUUUUGCCCUUUGAAACAGUGCUGCUCUUUUCUUGAUAUACUAGCUUGUGUGGUGGAGUACAUGAUCACUUGAGGAAUAGGUCCAGAUCCAUGGAUCACUUCACUGUUGGAAGACAAACCUUGUACUUUGCAUGUUUUGCUGCAGACUGCCUGAUGUUAAGGAACUUAUCCCGUUGAACCUGGGCUACCCUGUGAAAAAAAAAGAUAUCUCUAUGAUAGGAAACACUGAGGGAAAAGAGCUUGAAUCUGUCACCUUAAACUGAAAAAAACCAUCUGGGAUGAGGUGGCUCUAAUGCAGUGGAGAGAGACUUCUUGAAGGUGAACAGUUUGGCCUUUCUGCCAAAAAUAGAGUGAGAAGUGAUUUACAAACUGCAGAACGUGCAUGGAGCCCUUGAGACUACUGAUCUUCAUAUGGUGAUAAAUACAGAAAAAAGACAUUCUGUCUCUAUUCUUGCACCCUUCACCGUUGCCUUGUAUAGUAUCUCCAGAGAGUUCAGGAUCUGGAUAACAGUAAGAUAUGAUGCAGACUGAGAGCAAGAGGCCAUCUUAACUGUCAGGACAGCCCUAGCUGGAAUAUGUGUAGAGUGUAUUCCCAGUGUUUGUCACUAAUCCCAGAGGACAGAGGUAGGUUUAUAUGGCAAGAACAAGGUAUACAUCUUAUAUCUUUCUUUUCUGUGUUUCAAAUACAUGAUUGUCAUAUAUUCAGGCUUGUGUCAGAAUUAAGGGAUUUGGGUCACUAUAUUGUAAACUUCUCCUAUAUGUUAUGUACUUAAACAUAUAGAAACAAAAUUGAUACAAAAAUUAUUAUUAGGAGAGGCUGCCUAUUUCUUUCAUCAGAACUACUGCAUAUGAUAUAAUGCUGUGCUACGUGAAAAGAUCAAAAUUUUUCUCUCUCUCCAAAGACAGUGUUAAAAUAAUACAUAAAUACAUAUAAGCAAUAUAAGCAGAAUGUGAAAUCUCCUCCACCCUUUGAAUGUUGCCUACAUUUUUGUAUUGAUCUGUCUGAUUAUUUUUCAUUAUUUGAAACUACUGCAAAUAUGAAAACUCUGAAUCUUUUCUGUCCCCAAACCUCUUAAACUAAAAAAAAAAAAGAAAAAAAAGAAUGAAAAAGGAAAAAUACUGAAAGAAUCAGAAUUUCUGAAUAUAGAAAUAUUUUUAAACUGAUUAUAUGUUUUUUUGUUGUGAAAAGAUUUAAAAUGAAAAUGUCAGCAGUGCAUGUUUUUUUCCUAAAAGCAUGAACUCUAACCGGUAUCAGUCUGAUUUUACUGAUUUCCCAUAAUAUAAUGGUAAAUCAAAAGGAAGAAGCAAGGUUAAUUCCAAAUAGCACUGUGUUGAAUUAUUUUUAUUGAAAGUAAGAUUAGGCUGUAUAAGAGAAACCACGUGUUUUUAGAACGUAGAUUUCUGCUAAUUGCAAGUGUAUUCAAAUUGUUCUCUAAAAUAGAGCUGGUUAUAGAGUCCAAAAUCACCUUGUGUCCCGAAGCUACCUUGGAAGUAAAGAAAUGAUCCACAAUUUUCAUCUAGAAAGACUUCCUAUAUUCAGUGCACCUGCACUUCCUUUUCUCUCCUUUAUGCCUUUGAGUCACGAAGGAACAACAAAUAUCGAUACAUAGUAUGGGAAGAAUUUGAAAUGCCUCUUUCUAUUAAUUUUAUAUUACUGUUUAUUACUCUUUUCGAUCCCUAUUCUUACUGUCCUGUUUGAUGUCUGGAAGCUUUCAUCAGCAAGAAAGCUGAUUAAAUCACAAAACUAAUUUCAUUACUUUUUUCUGGGAUCAGAGAAUGACUUCUUCAGCACAUUUUUAGGAAAUAUUAUGUGAAUAUUUGCAUUGUGACAAUAUGCAAACAUUGUUGUUCAGUUCACUCUACAGUCAUGAACAACAGAGAUACUUUACCAGUAAGCUUAAAUACAAACAUAGAGCAUAUAAUAUUUAUAUAUGAUAAAUAUAAAAAAUUGCUUGACCAAAAGCUUUUUCUAUCAGGCAUUGGAUUCUUAAUAUGUGUGUUUUGACAUCCAUCCCAGUUCACUAUGAAGUGCUGUGUGCUAUGACUUCUUUGUGCACUCAGGUGACUGUGUUUCAGUAAUAGAAGAAUUGUUCCUUAUCUGUGCUGUAUUGAUAUUUGUAAAAUGUUUUGAGUUUCUCUGAGAUGGAAGCUGCUAUGCCAGUAUAAAGUACAGACUAUUAAUGCACAAUUAAACUUCAGACUUGGAUUUACCAGAAGAAUCUAAGACUGAAUCCUCCUUGAUAAAGUCUCCAUUAAUCUUUCACUAACAGAGAUACAUGUGCCCUCCAGUGUCUUGAUUCAUUAACAUGAUUUCCAUAAUGACAUACCUGGAAUGAAAAAGUUCACCUUUCUACUCAGUAAAUGAGUUGGAACAAAUGUAGAGAACAUUGACCUUACAGAGAGGCUUCUAGGUGAUUAAAUUGUUGAAACCAUGUCAGUAAGUGCAUUAGCCACUACAGAAACUUCCCCGUGGUGCUAAUGAAGGAGAGAGGAUAAAGAUCUCUGUAAACCAAUUGUCCAUGUGUUUCCAUCUGGCUAAUACAGAAUGGAAAAAUUAAAAGGAGUUUAUCUAAUCACAAGUCCUUACUUUUUUCCUCCACUCUGCUACUUUGGAACAAAACUGAAAAACAGUACUGAGAUUGUGAAUCAAAAGGCUUUUCAGUCUCACAGAAACACUCUGAUAUACUUAAUUCAUCUUCUGCAUUGAUUUUUCAGAGACCUGAUCAGUAGAAAUUCCAAGGUGUUAUGGUGAAGGGAACCAUAUAAAAGCCUGGCAGAGAGAUAGGACUGGUAGUUUUCAAGUCUUUGAAAAAAACUUUACCUUUCAAUACAUCUGUACCACAUAUCUUCCUGUAGAUCUAGUAAAGGACAGAGGACUUUUAGGGGGAGUGAAAGAACACAGAAAACAGAACAGCUUUUCACUGUCACUUUUAAUACAUUAUCCUUUCUAAGCUUAGCUUCCUGUUUGCAGAUCUACAGUUCUCUGCAUAAUUCAGUGCCCAGCAAGAAAUUCUGCAUGCCUGUGCACAGAAUAUUAAAUUACAAUCUAACACAAAAGAGAAUCUGUCCCAGAGCACAUGAAGACUGGGGUGUUUUCUAUGCUGUGCUGCUCUUUCUCAGCUUAUAAACCUACAAAAA
Long non-coding RNA from Columba livia (rock pigeon), 6791 nucleotides. RefSeq lists it as uncharacterized. The transcript has 4 exons. The record is from RefSeq and is a predicted model, not a curated record. Lineage: Eukaryota; Metazoa; Chordata; Aves; Columbiformes; Columbidae.